UCAGGCAAAGGGACAUUUACAUAUGCUUUUUAAAAUUUGUUUGAAUUGAGGUAGAGUAAAUAUCUGUAUUCUCCUUUGCCUGCAG
Molecule: microRNA precursor, 85 nt
Filed under: Colobus angolensis palliatus
Lineage: Eukaryota; Metazoa; Chordata; Mammalia; Primates; Cercopithecidae
Description: miRNA (ENSCANG00000011072.1)
Rfam family: mir-4742 microRNA precursor family
Source: Rfam by way of RNAcentral